GCGCCCGUAGCUCAAUUGGAUAGAGCGUCUGACUACGGAUCAGAAGGUUAUGGGUUCGAGUCCUUUCGGGCGCGC
RNAcentral lists this transfer RNA (75 nucleotides) under Ectobacillus funiculus. Its description in RNAcentral is "tRNA-Arg". It matches the Rfam family "tRNA". From Rfam's summary of the family: Transfer RNA (tRNA) molecules are approximately 80 nucleotides in length. Their secondary structure includes four short double-helical elements and three loops (D, anti-codon, and T loops). The record is from RNAcentral. RNAcentral also lists the same sequence under 2 other names. Lineage: Bacteria; Bacillati; Bacillota; Bacilli; Caryophanales; Bacillaceae.